ACCGCCCUCCUCUCCUCCAUCUCCACCACCAACUCCUUGUCCCUCACCUACGGCUUCUUCAAGGCCUCCUCCGCCGUCUCCGGCGCCUCCCAGACCCUCUAUGUCAUCGGCUCCUGCCGUGGUGACCUCCCUGCCGAGAGCUGUCGCGCCUGUCUCAAUGCCUCGGCCUCUGACGUUCGUGACCUCUGCCCCCUCCAGAAGGAGGCGGUCCUCUACAGCGGGAACUGCACCAUCCGGUACUCUAACGCCUCGAUCUUCGGCACAGUCACGACCGACCCCCGCUACUCGCUGUCCAACGUGAACAACGUCACGAGCCCGGACACGUACAACGCGGCGCUGCAGACACUGCUGGGUAGUCUGCAGGGCGAGGCGGCGGGCGGUGGCUCGCUGAGGAAGUACGCGACAGGGAAUGUGUCGGCGGGUUUCGACAGGAUCUAUGCGAUGGUGCAGUGCACGCCGGACUUGACGGAGCAGGAUUGCAGCGACUGCCUGGUGACAGUUGUCGCGACACUUGGGCAGUGCUGUGCCGGGAAGUUGGGAGUGAAUAUCAUGGCACCGAGUUGCCAGUUCCGGUACGAGACCACUGAUCGGUUCUUCGACCCGGUCAGCGAGCCACUUCCGCCGCCACCCGCACCGCUGCCGCAGGUGGGAGAUGUGCUGCCUCCGCCGUCAGGUACGUUGGCUCUUGUUUAAAAGUUAGGUACAAGGCGAUUAUGUCUUUUUUUCUAUAACUAAUUAUGCAGGUUCAAUACAGAUUACACCAUUAAUCAUUUAAAUGAGUUUGACGUACCUGCUCUAUAGAUCAUGCAAUUUAUUUACGUUGGUUAACUUCUUUCUUGCCAAGAGAAGAGAAGGUGUGUGUUGGUCCAUUUUUUUGGCAAAGGUAGAUGUGGGCUACCAGUCAAGUCAACCAUCAUGACCAAUUCAUUGAAGCACAACUUAUGGCAUUCAUUGCUCACAAGCGGUCAUAUGAGAUAUUUAAAUUGAUAAUUAAAGACCGACCAAAAACACAAAAAAUUGAUAAUUAAAGCGAGUAUAGGCUAGGGUAAAGAAUCAUUAGCAGAUCUUCCUUACUUCUCAUCAUUCUGUCACCAUUUGUCAAUUAAUAUAAACGCAAAAAGUGAUACAAAAAGAAAAUAAAAGGGUAUGAAAAUUGCGUAGGCAUAAUUGAAACAUUGGUGACACGCACUUGCAGGAGAUCUUAGAUUAUUACUAGGACUAUAUAAAAUCCGAUGUCAAAGGAAAACAAAGGCUGAAACGUAGCUUAAUCGUGUUUGAUCAUCCGAAAAAUGAAGUUAAUUAGGAUAAGAUUGAUUAGCAAUAUUGAAUAUUUUAAGAAAUUUUGCCGAAAUCCUCUUAAUAAAUGACGUGGCGAGUAUUUUUAUUGGGUGCUGAAUUAAAUGGGAUCCAUGCAUAAAAUGAUCAACAACCGACAAAAAAUGGGCAAAUCCACUUUAUAAGAGGGUUCCAAUAAGGUCUCUUACUGCAUAUAGCAUUUCUCGAGUUAAUAUAAGAAAUUCCUCCGUAUCUUUUAUCUUUUUUUCUUUUUUUUUGGCUUGGGAAAAGUACCGAAAAUAGACAUAUAUGGACCUCUAUUAGGGUUUUUUUAACACUAAUUAAUAAAAAAAAAGUGUAAUUAAUUUAUUUUAUCCUUUUCAUUGGUGGUCCUGAUGUAUAUAGUGGUCCCAUAUGUGCACAUGGGGACCAUCCCAUAACUCAGCAGAAAUCUUUGACCGGAGAACAUUUGCAAACCAGCAUUGGUCGUUUUCUGUGUGCACUGUCAUUACUCUAAUUUCCGUAAGAAAUUCAUGAAAGUAAUAACCUAGGAGUUGAAAAGCUAACCGAUUCUACCAAAAACUUUGAAUUCUGGAGAAUAAUGUGAUAAUUUUCAAGUGUUAAUAGUCUCUAUUAGACAAAACUUGGUAAGACGAAAAAAUCCAGAAAUCCAAAUAACUUCCCCUCGAGUUAUCAAAGAAUGGUGCGAUGUAAAUUUAACAUGCGUUUCGUUUCCGCGUUCAGAGUGGCCCUUUAAUGAUUUCUCCAGUGUAAUUUUCAGUGAGCAAUGAUCGUAAACAUAAUAUGCCUUUGCUCUUGCAGGUGGAAAGAGCAAUUUGAAUAGGACUGUGAUCAUUGUGGUCGCCACAAGUGUUUCUGCGGUUUUUCUUGUUGGUGUUAUUGUACUUCUGAGAGUGAAAAGGAAGAAGCAACCCAGGCAAAGAGUUGAAGGUGAGUCUUUAUCUUUUUCGCAUUGGAACAUAAGCUGUUCAUGAGGAUUUCAAAACAUCGAAUUGAUUCUUCGAUCUACAUGUUCAUGUGCCUGCUCGGACAUGUCCAUGUACACAUUUCUCAUUGUCUAUAGUUAACAGGCCAAAGGAACCAGUUGAUUAUCUAUGCGUGCAGGUGCAAUUAUGUGUACUAAAAGUUUGUGAACUCUCACUAUGAAAACUAUGGAAAGAAUAAUUCUCGCUCUGAAUGACCAUAUUUUUCUCUUUCUAGGUGAGGCUGCGGAUGAAAUUAGCACAGUGGAGUCGCUGCAAUUUGAUUUCGACACCAUUAGAGAGGCAACAGAUAAUUUCUCUAAUUCCAACAGGCUUGGACAAGGAGGUUUUGGUGCUGUUUACAUGGUAAUAAUUAACAAAGCAUCCUCUAGUCUCCUAUAUUCAAACUUUAAGCAACAAAAUAGUCAUAGAUCACAUCAAUCUGAUGUUCUUCAAAACGCCUCAAUGUACCAAUUGACUCUUACAAAGACGUACUUUGAUGAAAUUUCAGGGCCGGUUCUUCAAUGGACAGGAAAUUGCCGUGAAACGGCUAUCUCAUAAUUCCAGCCAAGGAGAAGUAGAAUUCAAGAACGAGGUCAUGUUACUAGCUAAGCUACAACAUAGGAACUUGGUCAGGCUCCUAGGUUUCUGUUUGGAAGGGGUCGAACGUCUACUCAUUUACGAGUUUGUGCCCAAUUCAAGCCUUGAUCAGUUCAUAUUCGGUAUGUCUCUCGAGUAGCCAUUCCUGAAAUCGAAUCAUCAUGAAAUGAUUAAGGGAUGUCUUAUAGAAUGUGAUUUUCAACAAAAUGCACAGAUCCCCUUAAGCGUGCCAAUCUCAAUUGGGAUAGGCGUCAAAAGAUAAUAAUGGGGGUCGCUCGAGGGCUGCUUUACCUACACGAAGAUUCUCGACUUCGUAUCAUCCAUCGGGACCUCAAAGCCAGCAACAUUUUGUUGGACUCUGACAUGAAUCCUAAGAUAUCCGAUUUCGGUAUGGCAAGACUAUUCGAGUUGGACCAGACUCAGGCAGAGACAAAUCGGAUUGUGGGGACCUAGUAAGUGCCACAACCUCCUAAAGCUAAUACUUGCCAAAAUAACAUAGUCAAACUAUAUAGCUAACAUGAUGGACCCAUUGUGAUGCACAGCGGAUAUAUGGCGCCAGAGUAUGUAAUGCAUGGAAACUUCUCUAUCAAAUCCGAUGUCUUCAGUUUUGGUGUACUGGUUUUGGAGAUUGUGAGUGGGCAAAGGAACAAUAUUUUCCGGGCAGGCGAUCAUGUAGAGAUCCUUAUAAGCUCUGUGAGUAUAAAACAUACCUUCUCAUUUCGCAUAAUAUUUCGGAGAUCAAUGUGCUCAAUGUUUGUUAAUAUUUGCAGGUUUGGAAGAAUUGGAGGGAAGGAACAAUAUCCAAAAUCGUUGAUCCCUCUAUAACCUCUAGUUUGAGUACCGAAAUUGUGAGGUGUGUCCACAUUGGUCUACUGUGCGUCCAAGAAAAUGUGGCUAACCGACUGACAAUGGCCUCAGUCCUUCUCAUGCUUAACAGCCACUCGGUCACACUCCAAGUGCCGUCACAACCUGCAUUCUCCAUGCACAGCGACAUCGAAUCCGAUGUGUCAUCUACUCAGGAUUACGAUUCAAGGGUGUCUGACGUCAACAGACCAAGAAGCAAAUCGAACCAAUUCUCAAACAACAAGGUCUCUGUGACUGAGCCAUAUCCACAAUAGCCUUGACAAAUGAGAGAUCAAUAUGCCCUACGUGUUAAUUUAUGUGUUUGUCAUGGUUUUCGUAUCAUCAAAAUUACUUUCUCGUGAUUUAAUUCUUCCUAGCAAAUACCCUUUUUUUGUAGUGCUUAAACAAUAUAUGGAGCUAGAUUUAUGUAUCAAACUGAGUGUAUUUUCCAAUUUUGUCAAAGGCACGCCAUCUACAUGUAUGUCCAUGCUAGAGAUCCGUGAGGAAUUGCCAUCUGAAGAUAUAGCUUAACGCAGUUAAACUGGGUAAGACUGGAACCUAAAAUCCCGAGUUUCUCGAGACACAAGUUUCCAGUUAUUUUACCAGUUUAAGGUCCUCCUAUGGCAAGAGCAAUUGCUCAGACAUGGAUUGUUCAUGAGACCUUCGGAAGGACCCUAUCUCCACUUUGAAAAAGACAACUACAUGAACUCACGAAUUAAAUCAAAUAAAAGUGAUCAUUAGUUGUUGCGACCAAAAAAUGACCAAGUCUUCUAAGUGGACAUGACAUCAAUACAAAAAUCAAUAUUAAGUGAUUAUACCAUCCAUAAGUCAUUGAAAUGCUUGUUGAUCGCCAAGAUAAUCGAUGGACAUAGUACAAUUAUCGACAUAUGAUAACGACUAAUCAAUGAUUGAUACUUAGAUAAAUUUAGAUAAAUGUUAAAGGCAAAAACUGAGGACAAUAAAGAUGUCGAUUAAGGGUUAGAUCAAGUGACAAUUGAGAAGUCAAAAUGGCUUGUAGAGAAGGUCAACAUGUAAUGAGGGAGAGCAAUCAUGGAGUCUAAACUUAUGGAAAUGCAAUUGAGUCCAAUCAAAAAUGAAGAGUUGUAGCUACUUAUAAAUAAGUUUGACGUGCAAUCAUGGAUUAUGGUCAUAGAGCCUAAAAUCGUGGAGAUACAAUUGUAAUCUUUAAUUUGAAAAUUAACCACUUAGAUAGGGUGACAUUUUUUAAUACAAUAUAUAAGCCACGUUGAAUCAUUCGAAGGAGGACACAAUCAACCACACAAACUAUGCAUAUUUUAGCUUAUCCAUUUAUUUUUCAGUUCCAGAAUUUAUUUUCUUCUAAAGUAAUUAGUCGUAGAUCUUGGUUACACUUUCUACUUCCUAUGCUAAAGAACCCAGUUCAAAAGAUGUUGACACAUAUUUUUAAACAAAAAAAAAAACAAACAAACAAAACAACAACAAAAAAAGAAAGAAAGAAAAGAGAGAGAACGCGAGGAUGGCCAGGUUGGGCCAAAUCCGGCCUCGGCCCAACUUGCCUCUCCCUUUUCUUCUCUCACACGCACACGGCCUAGCCUAGCUUCCCUCUCCCUUCAACCCGGCCCGCGACCUAGCCAUCUUCGCGCCCAAAAACCUGCAAAAAAGGAGCGGGAGAAAAGACAACAGCAGAAGCAAGGGAGUAGAGUAGGAGCAGAAGAUAGGGGCGAAAAAGACAGGAGCAGAAGAAGAGCAAGAGGAGCACAGAUCACAGUAGAAUAGCAAGAGGAGCACAGAUCACGGUAGAGAAUAAGGACUAGGAAAAAGGAGCGAUCAAGGAAGAACAAAGAGGGCAAGAGAGAGGAAACGAGAGGGAGAAUAACAACGGAGAAGGGGAGAAACAGGAAAAAAAAAAAGGGAGGAAGACAAAGCCUUUGCAGGUCGACUAAGGAGCCAAGAGCCCCUGGGAUGCCUUGCAACCACCGAAGAGCUGCCUGUCAGUCGUCGAUCGCUGCCAUUUCCUCUGAAGCUUCAGCUGGGCAUUAUGUCGAACGCCUGGUGUGCGUGUGCUUAACCGAACCGGUCAGAGCUCGCAUCGACUCUUUCAAGCAAGAUCUGGCCCUUCUCCCUGUCCUCCUUUGCAUUUUCUGCUAUUACAGUACGCCUCGCUACCCCUUUCAGCUCGCACUAGUCUCAACCAAGCCAAAAACCUCUCAAUCCGAUCAUGCCCACCACAUGCUAGCCAAAAUACCCAGUCGAAAGUUAGUUUUUGUUUCCCACAUUUAGAGAUCCAGCACGAUCAAUAGGUCACUAGAAGGGACGCCAUCGUCUAGCCAUACGAGGAGCGUCGUCCUUCCCCCCAUCCGAGGCGACGUCGUUGUGCUCGAGCCGGAGAACCACCCGGGCACGGCGUCACCUCCUAUGGUCGGGCUUGGCCCAUUCGGGCCGGCUAAUUGGCCCGCCCCCAACCAAGCCAAACCCGACCCGGCCUAGAUGAAAAUAAUAAAAAAUAUUACUUUUUUUGACCCGGCCUAGGCGAAAAUAAUAAAAAAUGUAGGGUUUGGUUAGGAAUUGUCAUGUCUUGCCCUCUUAGUGUAAUUAGGCAUUUAUUUGCUUGUAUAUUAAUUAUAUCGCAUGUUUAAUUUGCUUCUUUUAUUAUGUUUAAUUGCAUGUGCUAGAGUUUACUGCAAUUAAGAUUUUGGUUGCAAAUUGUUACUUUAAUGAUUGCAUACAUGCAUGAUCCCCUCACAUGUUAGUAGAUAGGUAUAAAGUCAAUCCAAACUGCCUAACAAUUUUUUUUUCUUUUAAAAUGAACGAGAUUAGGUACCAAAAGAGCACUAAUUUGUUAAUUACUGUAAUCAAGUCCCUGACUCUAGAUUCUCUGGUUGUGUAGGAAAUGAGGUACAUUGCCAUGCCUCACUUGGUUUCUAGCCAACCCCAAUAGACUAGUGGCCACUCCUUAUUGUGAACUUCUUGAGAACAUGCCAAUGUCACGUGAGAUAUGGGCUUGGGAGAGCUAAGCCUAAUCUUGGACCAUAGGCCCGUCCUUUAGGCAAUACCCCUAAACCUAUUUCCUCCCCCGGAGGGGUAGGUCGCGAUAGCUUGGCGACUCCGCUGGGGACCUAGUUUAAACCUUAAAGGACUCGGGCCUAAAUUUAUCUUGUUCAAAAAAUGUUUUUGUUUGGUAGCAAGGAUAUUGGGUACAUCCCUAAUGCAAUUGUUAAAUGUUUAUGCAGUUGGGAGUUAUAAGAAGAGAAGUGAUUGUUAACCCCUUGUCUUGUAGGUUUGGAGUUGGGAACGAAUGUUUAUGUUUUGAAAUUAUGAAGUGCUGCUUGCUUAUAGAUUGUCAUGUCCGUGUUCCCUACAUUGCACUACACCAUGACACACUACCUACCGCCGAACCUGGGCCGCAUAGGAUCACUUAGGAUGGUAUUGAAGUGGAUACCACUCCGACUACAACCACGUAGUACGAGCCGCCUAUCUCAACCCUAAAAUUUCUUUCUUGAUAUCAAAGGUCCCUACCUUGGUCUGCAACCACAUGACACAGGUUGGUUCUUUGACGAAGCCGAAGUUAUAGGAAACACGACCUAGCCGCAAUCUCGUUGGUUCGGUCUAGUAAUCCUAUGGCUUUAUUUCGAGCCGUAUAGAGUAGAAAUCAAACUAUAUCCCAUGUGUAUGUCUAUGUAAUAAAAAUAAGAGAGAGAGAGAGAGAGAGAGAGAGAGAGAGAGAGAGAGAAGUCAUCCCCCACUGUAAGUAUCAUUCUUCUUUUUAUUUGCUUUUUUUUUAUUAUUGAAUUUUCAUUUAAAAAUUCGCGGAGACCAAUCAAAUGUCCUCAAUUAUGUAGGCUUAUAAUUGAAAAAAAUUGACAAUCACUCUUGAUAAGUGAACAUUGAAUGCAAGUUUUAAACACUUUGAUUUGGCCUUGUUGAACACAUGAUUUUGUUUAAAUUUCUAAUUAUAGGCUCAAAAUGACAUCUUAAAAUAAAAAAUAAAAAUAAAAAACUUUCAAGUUGCAAUUAUAAUGGGGCACAAAAUAUGAAAUUACAUUUUUAAUCAAAUUCUAUCAUUCUCACAUUUUGGGACUAAAAUGCAUUUUGUAUACAAAUUUCUCAAAAUAGAAGUGACUUCAUUUUUCUAAGAGUAAAAUCACAGAUCAAUCUUUCAAAAAUCAAUACCACUUUUGCAUAUGAAACUUUUUGAAUAGAGUGGAUAUUCGAUUGAUAGCCAUCGAUGGGUCUUUUAAUGAUGCCCCUUCUCUUAUGACUAAUCUUGGUGAAAUACCAAAAUCCCAUAAUAGGGACUAUGGGGCAUGAGAUGUCAUCUCGAUUUUGCUGUAAGAGAUGACCGCAUUGAAAGAUUAAUUUUUCAUUUACAUACUAACAUUGUCAUCUUUUUGCAGGUUAUGUGUGAUGCUCCUUGACAUUCUCGUGUUUGACCACAUAGAGAAGUGAAUUUCUAGAGCUAGGACGAGUUUGAUUUUUACUCUUAUCUAUGAAAGAGUUUCUUGUAUUUUAUCAUUAUUUUUAUUCUUGUUAAGAAUCAUGUUUUCCAUUUUGGGUUUUGAUUGCGAAUCCAAUUGAUGCUAUUGUAAAUCAUGCAACUCAAAUUUUUUAAUGAUGCAAUUCAAUUUCGUGAAAAUCAUUUUAAAAAAAAAAAAAAACUCAGAAGUGUUUCCAAACAAACCUUAUGUCUAACUUCAAAAUGUUUUGAAAAUGAAUAUCGAGAAAACUUUGCGUAAAGCCCUCUCUUCACGUGGUCGCUUUCUCAGGUAGAAUGAGGAGUUUAUUUGAAAUCAGCAUCUACCCCUUCUAAAAGAUAAAAGUGUAGGCUCAUGGAACUCGAGGAGCAAGCAUGCGUCAAGGCUUUGUUGGCACCAAUCUUCCAUAGAGGUGGAACGAAGUUGAAUUCUGUUCUAGGAAGUUUCUUUAUUUGGAGGUUAGGCAUUGCCAUCACUAGAUUUUUUUUUUAAAGAGCUUUAUCAAGAGCCACAUCAUAUGUUACUAAAAGGCUAGCACUAGGACUCUUGCACAUUUUGGCAAUUAAAGCAUUUGAACAUUUGGCUGCAAGAACUUUCUAAAAUCAACUUUAUAGAUUCAUGUCACUAAAUGCUAUUUUCUUAUAUGCUUUAUCGCAAGGCAAUGACGCAAAUGCCUUCAGUGCCAAAAUAGCCCUUCAAUCCCAUUCACUUUGCAUGAUGAGACAAAUGAAGGAAGUUGCCAAGCAUCCAAAAAGGCGAAUUUGAACCAAUUAUCCAUUUCUGAUAUUGUUUCUGACAUGACUUUCUUUUUAUUGUCAAUGAGACAUCAAGAGUACCAAGUUUUGUAACGUUCCAACAAACGCGAUGGAGCAUUAUUAAGUCCUCUCAUCUUAAACAAAAGAAAGAUUCAAAUGAGACAAAGGGUAAUAUUAUCCCUUCCUCCAUAAGAGAUACCUUGGGAUGUUGAUCGCCCGACUUUGAAAAAAAUAUGUAUUUCGUUCCUAAACUUGAUUCUCUUUAGCAUAAAAAAUGACAUAUCCUUUUCUUUGGGUACAAUAUUUGCUAGAAAUCGUUGACAUAGACGCUAGUCGUUAUAUAUGGCAUGAUUGGUUCUGACAUGGACAAUUUUUUGUAAAAUUGAUUUGAAUUUUCUGAAUUUUUCUUUUCUUUUUUUCUUUUUCUGAUUUACUCUCAGAAAGGGCUAGCAAAGGCCAUUGUGGAUAACGAUGGGGAGCAAGGGUCACAACCAUCUGCGAUGGCCCUCACCAGCCCUUUUUGGAAGUGAAUGGCAAAAAGAUAAAAAAAAAAAAAUAAUAAUAUAUAUAUAUAGAUAAACUACUCAUAAGAGAUUCAAAAAUUUUAAAAAUAAAAUAUAAAAAAUAAAAUAAAGGAAUCAUCCACAUCAAAAAUUUAUGACGAAUUGAAAAGACUAAAUUGACAUAUCAUCAAAAGGUUUAUGACAAAAUUAACAAACUAGAAAGGUUUAGAAUUGUAUUGGCCAGCGUAGUUUUAGAGGAUAAUUUUUCCUUUAUUAGUAGCUACAAAGUUUACCUUUUGUUCCUUUACCAAAAAAAAAAAAAGUUUACCUUUUGUUUUAUUUUGUUUGCAGAAGUCCUCAACAGAGUUGAAGAUCAACCUCUCACCCACGCCGAAUCGUGACCCGUUUGCUAUCUGGGCACCCGUGCCGGGCGUCUGAAGUGGUAUUGUUGCUGCAUUUGGCGCCAUCAUUCACGGAGAGAUCGCCCAUGAACUUUGUUUCCGAUGGCCCUCUCGUAAAAGCCGCAAUAAAUAUGGGUUUUCCUCGAUAGAGAAGUUAACAGAUUGUUAAGACUAGCCCGAGACGGCUUCUCACCGAUGGUUAUGUCGGAUUGCAAGCAAGACUCGCCCGCGUUGUAAUCCGAAUGAAAAGGACUCUGAAGCUGAUGAUAUCUUGUACUCAGCAGUGCCGAGGCUGAUCCACUUUGUGCCGGUUCAUGCAAAGUUGGGGAGAAUAGGAGAUCAACGUCCCGGAAUAAGGAAUGUCUAAAGGAAGUUAAGGGUCCAUUUGUUUUGCAGAAAAUAGAUAAUUUAGAAAAAAGUAAUUAGCGAGAAAUAUUUUUUUUAUUGACAAUAAUUUAUGUCUCAAAAUUUUUGGUGAACCAUGAAAGUAUUUAUCCUUUUUGUAUGCGAUACAGGAUCAUUUUUAGGAAAAAUAUUUUUCAAAUCACUUAUUUUUCAUGAAACAAACGAAGCUUUAAGUGGAAUUCGGAAUGUUGCACUAGAACUCUCGAUGCACUUCUACCUAGAAACACUUUACUUUCACAUCCAAAUAAUUACUAACUUUUGAUGUUAGUAAGUUUCAAUUAAUCAUAGAGAGAGUAAGUUUUUCACAUUAGUAAGUAACUUUCCCCGCAAAAAACUUUUCUAAGCAGCUUAUUUGCCAUGUAUGUUAAAAAGCUAGACUACAUAUAGCCGUACCUUAAUCAGAAACUUUUAUAAUCAAUAGUUAAUGGCCAAUUGAAAAAUCGAAAUUUGGGGUCAAUGUUCUACUUAGGAAUUCCAAAUAUGGUUGAUCCAUUCAAUAACAAUUAUUCAAUUCGUAAGUUCUUUCUUUUCAUUUUUUUUUCUUACUGUGUUGAAUUAUUGCUGCAGUCGUCCUUGGUUUACCGAAUCUUAUUCUCCCAUUCCAAUUAGCACUACCCUUUAGGUGUCUUUGAUCUUGAUUAAUCCCUCUAAAUAAAAAAUGAUCACCACUUUUCAAACUGUUCUGUUCAAAUUUAGAAUAUUAUUAAAAUUUUAAAUAUUACCCAAAAUUCCAUAUAAAUGAAUUUACGGUCAAUUCUGAAAAAGAAAACGCAGCACAUAGUUCGUGCUCGUCAUGGAAGGGCGCUUUGACCCGGGCCAUAAGGACGCGUGUUGGAAAAGAUCAACUUCGAAGAUUCUAUUGUUUCCAUUUUCGUAAUUGUCCGUGUCAACUCCAAUCUCAAUCAUCGGUCACAAGAUAUAUUAUACAAUAUAGACUGCAACCUUCGUAGCAAUUGCUUAAAGUCAAUAUGGAAUAGUAGUGGCCCGUUCUUGAGGCAAAGAUAAGCGUGUUAUCACAUAAGUCAAGAUCAAUGAUGAGUGGGCAUGAUGAUUCAUAUAUAUAUUAUCAAAAAUUUAGAGAGAAGCGGAAAAGUCGGGAUUUGAUCGAACAGAUUGUUGCACACAAUUGAAUAUUUCACAUAAUUUUAUGGGCAAAUGUUCGAAAUCUAGGCUCUAUGUUGUGUGUUCUAAGCUAUGUAGCAUUUAAAAUGCUGCCGUGAUGAAUUAUCUAUAUAACAAACUUAUUUUAAGCGGUCGGCAAAGCAAACGUCCUGAACAAAAAUUUGAUGUUGAUAUUGGACGUUGAAGUUAACCAAAACCCAUGAUUCGCUUUAGGAACACCAUUCUCAUUCGUUCAAAAAGUUUUUCAACGUAAGGACGAUUAUCGAGCAAGAGGGGGAAGUUUGAAAAGGAAAAGGCUAAUGCUAACAUUUGUAAAAUAAUAAAAAUAAAAUGUUGUUAGUUGAUAAGUGGGAAGAAGGUUCUCUAGACCCAUUAAAUGUUUCGAGUUGGAAAACUAUCCAAAACAAUUGUAAACAUAUUGUUCAACGGUCAAUUCAAUCUUAAAUAUUUCAAUUUUAUCAAUUUAAUUCAAAAUGUUUUGAUAAUUUAUCGAUCCAGUCCAAAUAUUUUAACAAUCUGCCAAUUUAAUCCCAAACUUUUUUACAAUGUGCUAAUUUAGUCUUAAACAUUUUAAUCAUUUAUUAAUUUAGUCCUUUCGGCCAAUUUUGGUUAGAAAUCAUUGACAUGACAAUCUAGUUAGUGACAAUCAUCCUACUUGGCAUAGCUAGUGCCAACAUAAAUAAUUUUUACAAUUUUAAAUUUAAUUUAAUUUUCCUUAAUUUAUCAUAAUUUUUUGUUCUUUUCUUUCUUCUUUUAUUUUUCUUACUCUCUAGUGAGGUCACCGCUCGACCAGGUGAGGGUCACAACUCCCUCACCGGCCAUAGGCGAGGGCAUCCUAACUCUUGCCCAAAUAUAGGCAAAGGUGUAGCGACCAAGGUCGGCCAGCGACCUCGCUGGCGGAGAAAGAAAAGAGAAGAAGAAAAAGAAAGUAAAAGAAAAAAACGAAAAAUUAAAUAAUUCAGAAAAAAAAAUUAAAAAUUAAAAAUACAAAAAUUUUCCAUGUCAAUGCCAAACAAACGACAUAGGACAACUACACUGACUAAACUACCGCGUCAACAGUGUUCAGCCAAAAUUAUCGGGAAUGACUAAAUUGAUAAAUUGUUAAAAAAUUUAACACUAAAUUGGCACAAUUAAAAUGUUAAUGACUAAAUUGGCAAAUCAUCAAAAAAUUUAGAAGUGAAUUGGGUGUUGUACAAAAGGUAUAAGACUUUUUUUACAAUUAUCCGCGUUUUGAUAUGAUCUUGGAGAAAGAAUAAUACUAGGUGUACUCAAACUUCUUGCAAUAAUAAUUCACUCAAUGACGAGAAAUGUUUUAGCAAGAAAAAUUCUAAGCUCGUGUUAGUUAAAAGCCGCGGCCGAAAAAUAUAGAAAUGGCUGGUUGAGAAUUCAAAUAUUUACAUUCAUCUGGCCUCCACUUGGUCAAUCACUGGUUUUCUGGCAAAGAAAAAGAAAAGAUUCAAUGAUUUCGCACGUAUCAAAAUUCAAGCCGCCACAACCCCCAUUCCAAGUCAAAAGCCGCGGCCGAAGCAGAUUCGACCAGGCGAACUUUAGUAGGAGCUACACAAGCUAUUAAUCAAGGAGAGGCCCGAAACACCAAAUCAAAAAAAGAAAAAAAAAGACAGAUGGAUCCUCGGAAUCUCCGUCUCUUGCUUCUUCUCGUGUUUGCUUCCACCAUCGACGCCCAAGAUCUCUUCCCAAAGCCGUACUGUGGUUCGACCGGCAACUUCAGCGCCGACAGCACCUACCAAACCACCCUCACCGCCCUCCUCUCCUCCAUCUCCUCCACCAACUCCUUGCCCCUCACCUACGGCUUCUUCAACGCCUCCUCCGCCGUCUCCAGCGCCUCCCAGACCCUCUAUGUCAUCGGCUCCUGCCGCGGCGACCUCACCGCCGAGAGCUGCCGCACCUGCCUCAAUGGCUCAGCCUCCGACAUCCGCGAUCUAUGCCCCCUCGAGAAGGAGGCGGUCCUCUACAGCGAGAACUGCACCGUCCGUUACUCCAACACCUCGAUCUUCCGCACACUCGAAACCGACCCUGACUACCAGCUGUUCAACGUCAACAACGUCACGAGCCCAGACACGUACAACGCUGCGCUGCAGACACUGCUGGACCGUCUGCGGGGCGAGGCGGCGGGCGGCGGCUCGCUGAGGAAGUACGCGACGGGCAACACAUCGGUGGGUUUCAACACGAUCUACGCGAUGACACAAUGCACGCCGGACUUGACCGACCAGCAAUGCAGCGACUGCCUGGUGACAGUCAUCGGGAGACUUGGGCAGUGCUGUGCCGGGAAGAUGGGAGUGAGGAUCAUGGCCCCAAGUUGCCAGUUCCGGUACGAGACCAAUGAUCGGUUCUUCGACCUGGUUGGCGAGCCACUUCCGUCGGCGCCCGCACCGCUAUCACCGGCGGCAGACGCACCGCCUCCUUCGCCAGGUUUGUGUUAUUUUUUUCUAUAAUUCGAGUGGAUUAAAAUCAUCUAAAUUAUUAAUUAUGUGGAUUUCACAUGACAUUUACACCGUAAUCCGUUCAAAUAUGCUCAAUUUAGAUGUUCUUUAGAUCAUGUAAAUUUUUUGGUUGGAUAAACGCGUCUUUGCCAAACACGGGUGGGUUGGUCCAUAUUUUCGACAAAAGAAGGAAUGGUUCCCUAACUCUAAUCAUUGAUGCAUCUCCAAGCUGUCAUGAGAUUUUUAAAGUCCAGGCUAGGGUAAUGAAUCAUUAGCAGAUCUUCCUUACUUCUCGUCAGUCAUUCACCCCUUUUUGUCAAUUAAUAUAAACGCAAAAAGUUCUUUGACACAGCGAAAAAAAUGGGAAAGAAAAUUUCGAGGCCAUAAUUGAAACAUUCGUGACACGCACUUGCAUGAGAUCUUAGAUUAUUACUACAACUUUGCAGUAUCAGACGUCAAAGGAAAAGAGAAGCCGAAACUUAACUUAAUUGAGCUUCAUCGUCUGAAGAUGAAGUUAAAAAGAAUUAGAUUGAUUAGCAAUAUUAGACAUUCUAAGAAGUUUUACUGAAAGCUUUUUAUUAAAUAACAAGGCGAACUUUUAUUGGGCGCUGAAAGAAAUUGGACCGAUGAUGCAUUAAAUGAUCAACAACCAAUUAGAAAUCAGCACGUCAUUUAAUCAGAGGGUUUUGGUAAGAUCUCUUAUUACAUAAAGCAUUCCUCGAGAUUGAGUUAGAUAAGAAAAUCCUCUAUAUUUUUUAUAUCUAAUUAUUUGGUCUUAAUCCUAAAGAAAGACGGCUGUAUUUUGACCUUUCAAGUGUUUUAUAAUGAUAAGAUAGGACGGGCCAAGAUUUUUUUUUUUUUUUAAAGAAUCAAAUGAAUGAAAACUAAGACCAAAGCACGAUGGAUUCGAAUACAGCUGCCGUGAGGGUGACCCAACCCGGCAACGACCGGCGUGAUUGUUGUCGUAUCCAUCACAGUAAUAGAGCAAUGAAUUAGGAUUAACAUUAAUCUUUCUCCCUUCUCUUUUAUUCUUUUCGUCGGUGUUCCUCAUGCAUAUAGUGGUCCCGUAUGUGCAUAUGGGGAGCAUCUAAUAACUCGGCAGAAAUCUUUGACCUGAGCAUUUGCAAACCAGCAUUGGUAGUUCCUAGCUCCACUCGGUUUCUUGUAAACCGUUGCACUGCCAUUACUCUGAUUUCCGUAAGAAAUUCAUGAAAGUAAUGAACUUGUGGUUGAAAAGGUAACCGAUUAUACCCGAAAACUUCAAAUUCUGGAGAAUAAUGUGUUAUUUUUCAAGUGUUAAUGCUCUCCAUUAGACAAAUCUUGGUAAAACGACAAAAUCCAGAAAUCCAAAUAACUUUCCCUCGAGUUAUCAAAGAAUGGUGCAAUGUAUGUUUAAAAUGUGUUCCGUUUCCACGUUCUUUGAAAUGGCGCUUGAGUGAUUUCUCCAGUGUAUUACUAUGUAAUCGGUAAGCAAUGAUCCUAAACAUGAUGUGCCUUUGCUCAAGCAGGUGGAAAGAGCAGUUCAACGAAGACUGUGAUCAUUGCAGUUGCGACAAGUGCUUCUGCGGUCCUUGUUAUCGGCGUUGUCAUACUCCUGAUAAUGAAAAGGAAGCGGAAGCAGCCCAGACAAAGAGUUGAAGGUGAGUCUGACUUUUGGCAUUGGAACAGCUACUGUCCAUGAGGUUUAAAGGAUCAUGAAAUUAAUGAAGUUGACUAUUUACUAUGCUUUUCUACCAGCGCGAUAUUGACAAUUAGGCCAACAUUUUCCAAAAAAAUUGGGUUGAGAAUUACAGAACAUGGAAUUGAUAUUUCGAACUUUACAUUCAUGCGCACCGCUUGGACAUGUCCAAUUACACAUUUCUCAUUUACUGUAGUUAGCAUAAACUGAUUGAGCAGGCCAAAAUAGGAAGUUGAUAGUAAUCCCUGCAGGUGCAACUCUUUAUCCUAAAAGUUUGACAAGCUUUUAUCAUAAACCCUAUGAUAAAGACAUUCAUGCUCUGAAUGACUUCAUAUUUCUCUUUAUAGGUGAAGUUGAGGAUGAAAUAAGCACGGCAGAGUCACUGCAAUUUGAUUUUGGCACUAUUAGAGCGGCAACUGAUAACUUCUCUGAUUCCAAGAAGCUUGGACAAGGCGGUUUUGGUGCUGUUUACUUGGUACUAAUUAACAAAGCAUCCUCUAGUCACUUCUAUUUGAAAUUCAAGCAACAAAAUAGUCAUAGAUGACAUCAAUGUGAUACUCUUCUAAAUGCUUCAAUUAUAUAUCGAUACUCAUGAGGAUCUAAUUUGAUGAAAUUUUAGGGUCGGCUCUCCAACGGACAAGAAAUUGCGGUAAAACGGCUGUCGCAGAAUUCUGGACAAGGAGAAGUAGAAUUCAAGAAUGAGGUAAUGUUAUUAGCUAGGCUACAACAUAGGAACUUGGUUAGGCUCCUUGGUUUUUGCCUAGAAGGAGUUGAGCGGCUUCUCAUUUACGAGUUUGUGCCCAAUUCAAGCCUUGACCAGUUCAUAUUCGGUAUGUUUCUCAAGUUGUCAUUCCUCAAAUCAGAUCCUCAUGAAAUGAUUAAGGGACUUCUUAUAGAAUGCGACUUUCAACAAAAUGUGUAGAUCCCCUGAAGCGUGCAAAUCUCAACUGGGAUAGGCGCCACAAAAUAAUAAUGGGUGUUGCUCGAGGGAUGCUUUACCUACAUGAGGACUCUCGACUUCGUAUCAUUCAUCGGGACCUCAAAGCCAGCAACAUUUUGUUGGACUCGGACAUGAAUCCUAAAAUAUCAGAUUUUGGUAUGGCGAGGCUGUUUGAGUUGGACCAAACUCAAGCAGAGACGAACCGAGUCGUGGGGACAUAGUAAGUGCCACAACCACCUAUAGCUAAUGCUUACCAAAAUAACAUGGACAAACUAUAGAGCUAAUAUGAUGGAUUUAUUGUGAUGCACAGCGGUUAUAUGGCACCAGAAUAUGCAAUGCAUGGAAACUUCUCUGUCAAGUCCGAUGUCUUCAGUUUCGGAGUGCUAGUUUUGGAGAUUGUAAGUGGUCAAAGGAACAAUCUUUUCCAAGUGGGCGAUAACACAGAGGUCCUUAUAAGCUAUGUGAGUAUAAGAACAUAUCUUCUUAUUUUGUAUAUUGCUUCAGAGAUCAAUCUGCUCAAUGUUUGUCAUAUGUUUGCAGGUUUGGAAGAAUUGGAGGGAAGGAACAAUAUCAAAUAUCAUUGAUCCCUGUAUAACUUCUAAUUUGAGUACUGAAAUUGUGAGGUGUGUCCACAUUGGUCUACUGUGCGUCCAAGAAAAUGUGGUUAAUCGACCGACAAUGGCCUCAAUCCUUCUCAUGCUUAACAGCCACUCCGUCACACUCCAAGUGCCAUCACAACCUGCGUUCUUUUUGCACAGCGGCAACGAGUCCGAUAUGUCAUCAACGCAAGAUUACAGUUCGAGAGUGCCUGAGGUCGACAAAUCAAGAAACAAAUCAAACCAGUCCUUGAAAAAGGAGGCCUCCAUGACCGAGCCAUAUCCACGGUAGCCUUGACAAACGGUAGAUAGUCAUAGUGUGCCCUAAGCGUUAAUUUGUGUGUUUGUCAUGGUUUUCAAAUUAUCAAAAUUACAUUCUCAUCAUUUAAUUAUUCCCAGCAAUUAAUGUUUUUGUGUAGUGUUUAAGUGACAUACUGAGCCAGAUUUUACGCAUCAAGCUAGAUGCAUUUUCCAAUUUAGUCAUAGGCGUGCCUUCUACAUGUAUGUCCAUGUUAGUUAGGAAUUGCUAUUUAAAGAUAUAGCCCAAAACAGUUAAAUUGGCUAAGAGUCGAACCUAAAAUCACGAGUUUCUCAGGACACAAAUUUCCAACUAUUUUACUAGUUUAAGGUUCUCCUAAGGUUAGAGCAAUUGCUCAAACGAUGAUCGUUCAUGAGACUUGAGAAGGAUCUAUGACUACUUUGAACAAGACAACUAAUUGAACUCACCAAUUAAAUCAAAUAAUAAUGAACAUGAGUUGUGGACACCUAAAAAUGAUUGAGUCUAUCUUAAUCAGCAGCGCAGCAACAAUGGAUAGUAAAUUUACAAUUAUGUCAGGAGCUAUCGAUCGAAAUAAAAUGAGGAACAAUAAAAGAAAAGGACAUCGGAAAUUUACGUGAUUCAGUCCGAAUGUCGGAAUCUACGUCCAUGGAGAGAACCAGCAAAUUAAUCUACUAUAAAUUGGAGAAUUACAGGAUAACAAUCCACAUGUACUCAAGUGUUUCCCAGCCCUACUUUAUACCCGAUACCCAAGGUGUUUAACAAAACAACUCGAUGGACUAAGACUCCGCACAAAUCUCUCUGAGCUCACGUCUCUCGCUCUCGGUCUCUCGAGCUCUUUUCCUUUCGCUCUCUCUGCCGAGCUCUAUUCUUUCGCUCUCUCUCGAGCUUCAGACGUCUUCACCUUUUAUCGGUUGAAGGGGAGGAAACAAAACAAAAUAAACUUGUACUCCACAAUUGUCAGAACGGUGCCGAUCUUCAAAGCAUGCGCCUCCAUCCAAUUAUUGAUAGCGUGUGAGCGAAUGACCAGCAUGCACUGACACACGUAGAAUACCUUCUGCCUUCCCUCUUUCUUUAUUAAUAAAAACAAGAGAAGCCCACAAAAGAUGACCAAGAAGAGAGGGUGAAUUCGGCGCCUACGUGAUAGGCUUCUGAAGCAGCAAGUAUUGACCAACUCUUUUCUACGCAUGCAUUUAAUGACGUAUUGUAGCCUUCAUUUCCAACGUGAAGCGCAGAUCGAGGGCGGGAUUCUUUCGGCUCCUAAUCACACGCCAUUCCUCGUCAAAUGCUCCGCAGACGUUCUUUCUCGUUUUAGCAUAUACAUGUUUUGCGCGUAUCGGGUAUUAUAUAUGAAUUCAAACUUAAAACAUAAUUUAACAUUCUUUAUGACACUGAUACAAAAUUCGAUAUUGAAUGAUUCUCCCAUUGACAAGUCGUUGGUAGCAAAAAUGCUUGUUAAUGGCCAACACAAUCAAUAAACAUACUACAAUUAUCAACAUAUGAUAAUGACUGGUCGACAAUUGACACUUAGAUAAAUCUAAAUAAAUGUUGAAGGCAGAAUCUAAAGACAAUAAAGAUGUUGAUUAACGGUUAGAUCAAGUUACACUUGAGAAGUCUUAACGGCUUGUAGAGAAAGUUGAUAUGCAAUCAUGGAGAGCGAUCAUGGAGUCUAAACUUAUGGAGAUGCAUUUGAGUCUAGUGACAACAGAAGAAUUAUAAUCGCUUAUAGAUAAGUUUGACGUGUAAUCACGGAUUGUGAUCAUAGAGCUUAAAAUCAUGGAGAUGCAGUUGUAACAUUUAAUUUGAAUGUUAACGAGUAUUGGAUAUUGUUACAUUUUGUAAUACGCUUUAUGGGCUCUAUUAAAUCGUUCUAGAGGAGGAUACAGUCAACCACACCAACUGUGUAUAUUUUCCCCGUGUAAAACUUUCUAGGCAGCUUAUUUGCCGUGUAUGAUAAAAUGUUGGAUUACAUAUAGCAGUGCCUUAACCGGAAACUUUUAUCAUCAGUGCUUGAUAGCCAAUUGGAAAAUCGAAAUUCGGGGUCAAUGUUCUACUUAAGGUGUUCAAAAUACAGUUGAUCCAUUCAACAACAAUUAUUCAAUUGACAAGACCAUUCUUUUCAUUUCUUUAUUUCUUACCGUGUUGACUUUGCAAUCGUCCUUGGUUUACCUUAUCAUAUUCUCUCACUCCAAUUAGCACUCCCACUAGGUUUCUUUCUUCUUGAUCAAUCUAUCCAAAUCAGAAAUGAUUACCCGUUUCAAACUGUACCAUUCAAAUUUAGAACAUUAUUUAAAUUUUAAAUAUUAUCUGAAAUUCCAUAUAUGUGAAUUUUCGUGUCGAUAAGUACAUAUUAUUAGAGUUUUAGAUGUUUGGGAUGAAAAAAGACAUCAAUAAGAUUUAGAUUAAAUAAAAGAUAAAGCUAUCGGUUAUUAAAAUUGAAAGUCACAUGUUAUAAUAAAAUUCCGAAAAGGAAACGCAGCACAUAGUUCGAGCUCGUCACGGGGCCAUAAGAAUGCGUGUUGGAAAAGAUCAACUUCGAAGAUUCUAUCGUUCCCAUUCUAUAUAAAAUAUAGUCUGCGAUCUUCCUGGCAAUUGGUUAAAGUCAAUAUGAUAUCAUAGUUACCUGGCCUUGAGACCAGGAUAAACGUGUUAUCACAUAAGUCGAGAUCAACUAUCAAAAGUGGGUACGAAUGCAAAAAAAUAUAAUUAAAAUUUUCGAGAGGAGCGGAAAAGUCGGUAUUUGAUAGAAUAGAUCGUUCCGCGUGAUUGGAUGUUUCGCAUAGUUUUAUGGGCAAGUGUUCAAAAUCUGAGAAAAUAUUGGGUGGGUUUUACCCUCCACGUAGGCGGUGGGUAAGACCACUCAGGAGUCGACACGUGGCUCCACGUGUCGACGGUGUCAGACGUUCAAAAGCGCUCCUGGGGCCCACCACUCUGACGCCCCUCCAUCUUCUGCGCUCCUAUCUCUCUCCUCUCUCUUCUCGCUCUCUCCGAAAUAAAUGGCUGGUGGCUCGGCUCGGCUCGGCUGGCAGAAGAAAGGACGGAUAAGAAGGGUAAUGAAUGCUCUGCGCUCCCGCUUAAAUUUUCUCUCUCCUCACUUGAAACUUUUUGGGUUUUGUCUCUCUCUCUUCGUCGAAGAGCAGACAGAGAACGAGCUGCACUUCCCUCUCAGCGCAUCCCACCCCUCCGCCUCCGCCUCGCCGAUCAUCUACCUCUGGCACGUCGCCUCCUCCAAGAGCCCCGCCUGUCACAGCUGGUUCCCGACCGCCUUCGCCUCCCACUGUUUCCAACGCGUAAGGUUUGUGCUCGCGUUGGUCUCUCGGCAACUUCUGGGCCUCCGUCCGAUUUCCUCCCUCCGACGAACUCGUCAUCAACUCCGACUCCGAGCCACCGCCGCCGCCAGAAUCCGCGCGCUGUUCUGGAGGUCGAAGAAGUCUCUGGAGCCUCGCGAGACCGUCCAUCUUUCCCUCGGCUAUUAUGCUCUGACGGCGCCGGGCGUCGAGGUUUGUUCUUAGUCACGUUCGCGAUGGUUCUGUUUCCGGGAUGUACGGAAUGAAUAGGUUCGUGUUCUGUCGCGCAGGAUGUCACGGCAGCGGAGUCGAGGCCGAAGAACAUAUCGCCCUCGGACGUGAGCCGAAUCGGGUUCACGGACGAGUCCGUGGAGGAGAUAGAGCCUCGGUUCCAGGCCGCGUUCAAGGUGAUGGAGGAGCUGGGGAAGGGUGCGAUCGCAAACCCUGCCCAGACGAGGGCUGCAUGGUCGGGCACUACUGGUUGAGGAAGUCGGAACUCGCGCCGGCCCGGUUCCUGAAGGCGCAGAUUGAGAGCACGCUUGACGCCGUCUGCAAUUUCGCUGCCGACGUGGUGCGCGGUAAGGUCAGUUCUGGAAUUCCGGUCGUCGUUGCUCUGUGUGGUAAGAGAGUCUGUAGUUCCCUGCGUUUUUUUUUUUCUUGGGAAUCGGUUUGCUGUUGUAGAUGCCUGUGUCUGUUUUUUAGUAAAUGCCAGCAUUGUCUUAGUCGCUCGAGGAAGCGCGAGCCGAGAAUAAAUUGAAUCAGUUUUUGGUCAAAGAGAUGGAGAGCUCGUUUACAUAUUAUUCACUUGAAAUGACCAUGUAUGGAAAUUUCUGACUCCAAGAUGUAGUAAUUUCAAAAUUUUCUUCAGGUUUUCCGAUUAAUGUCAUCAUGAAAUUCAGUUUCUGAUCGUUGGUUUUCGUUUAGUGUGCUUAACUGAUUGCAUUGGACACGGAAGGAUUGAUUGACUUGAUUAUGUUUGACGCAUAAUUUGCAGAUUAAGCCCCCUUCUACUUCUCCCGUGGAUCGCUUUACUCAAGUACCUUCAGUUGGAAUUAGAUGUUCAGCUCUUGGGCCACGGUUUGUUGCAGAGGCAUUGGCCAAGUGUAAGGAGUGCCACAAGACCAGGAAGAUCUUUGUUUCUGUAUGUGUUUGCCUCUCUGUACUUGGGCUAACGUUUUAGUCUGACAGUCAUGGAUGUUGAGUACACUAAGGAUUGCAGUUGUGUCUGAAGAAUCUAUACUGGGUAAAUGUGUUGAUGCUAAGUGGCAACUGGGCAGGUUGAGUUGCGAUAAACUGCUUGUGAUGUUAAAUUAACAGAUUGAUCUUUGUUCUCUUGUGAUAGGAAGCAAGAUGCAUGGCUUUUCUAUUUAUCUGGUUUAAUUAUGUUGUGCUGCUGAUGCUUCCUGACCCUUUGCUAUUGAUUAAAUAAGGUUUUGUCUUUUCUUCUUGUCAGCUCGAUAAGCUUAGUGACACACAAUGCCAGCCGGAGUCACAGUUGAAGUUCAUCAUAGAGGCCUGGCAACAGGUUUUAUUACUUAAUUAAACUUAAAUAUGAUUUAUGUGAUUUUCAGUUUGGAAUGUAAACACAGCUGUUAUAUAUGUUAAAAUCUGAUGUAGUGUUUUUGAUUUAUUAUCCUGACCUGCUUCUGUGAAACUAAAUUAGGCUCCUUUGAUGUUUGUAGAUAGUUGAGUGUAGGCGAGUGCUCAAGUGGACAUAUGCAUAUGGUUAUUAUCUACCAGAAUAUGAUCAUGCUAAGAAACAAUUUGAGUAUUUGCAAGGUUUGUAUUGGAGAGUAGGAUUGUGGAUAGACAAUGGCCAUGCAUAUUUUUGGAAUGUGUUAUUGCACGUCACAUGUAAAUAUAGACUUCCCAGUAAAAUAUCUCUACGGUUGUCACCUUAUAGGAUAUUGCUCACUUUAGGCCUGAUAUGAAGUUGCUUAUUUUAAGUGCCAAACUAGAUGCAGAGAAGUUCAGUGAUUUUUUUCACUCCACCCUGAUAUUUAGAUAUGCAGUAAGGCGGUAUCCAAUUGAAAUUCUUCACACCAGUGCACCUGAAGCAGAUUACUUGGAUGCAGCUAUUCAAAGUGUAAAUAAGACAACUGUACUUUUUAUUUAUUAUAAGACAAAUGCACUUUGGCCAAUCAACUAACACUAUUUUACCUUCAUAUCAUUUCAAUUUGGGUGCAUCUAAAACAGGUUCAUUUCCUUUUUAUUUUUUUUGUUUCUGACUUGAAUCGCUGCACAAUAUUGUUAAGCUCUGUCAUCUGGAGAAUAUGUUGGAAAGAAUGACAGCAUGUAUCUGCCUUUUUCUUUUUUUCCAUAGGUAUAGCAUUAUGUAUCCAUUAGACUAGUUAUUGAAGAAAGCAUGUAUCUGUUGGCCUGUGCUUAUGCUUACCAGUCAUCCCUUCAAAUUAUCAAAUACUCUACAAAACCAUCUGUUGUCCCUUUCAUUUGCUGAGUGGCCAUCCCUUAUUCUUCUGUUUACUUCUUGUCAUUUAUUGCUGUCCAUCGGAUUCUCAUCGUGAGAGUAUAAAAGUUCACAUUUGUAAUACAGUUGACCCCAGUCAAGCUACUGGAAGUUGUACUUAGCUUUUUGUUUGUUUCUGCAUGUUGGUUGUGCAACCGUUGGAUGAAUUCAUCAGGAAUGUAACCUCGAAGAAAUCUCCGAUGAUGAUGAACCCCCAAUAAAAGGUUCCAAGGAUAAAAAAUCAAAUGGUCCAGACUCUGGAAAAGGACCUGGUCUUGUCUUCAAGAUAACUAGCAAGGUUCCUUACAAGACAGUACUAAAAGGUACUUAUUCUUUCAUACAUUAUGUCUUUUAUCUUUAGGAUUUUGACUAUCCCUUCAAACUGCCAAUUGGAUGUCCUGCUUCCAUGUUGUAGCUCACGGUGCGGUGGUAUUGAAGGCUGAGAUUAUGGCAGAGAAGGUUGAGUGGUUGAGCAAAUUAAGAAAUGUUGUCCUGCCUUCUACUGGAGGUCAAAUGAAGGGAGAAUCUGGGCUCCCCCUCCGGCAAAGCCUCUCCGAUGGUUCUCUGGUGAGUCAUCUAAUGGUAUUGCUUUGUAACAAAUUCCCUUCCUUUCCCUUCUUCCGCAAGGGGGAAAAAAGAAACAACCAUCAACCCCUAAAGGGAGAUAGAAAAUCAAUGGGUUUGUUUUAUCUUUAGCGACUGCAAGCAAGAUCCAUCUGUUUCACUUUCCACUCUUCCAACUGUCCAGUGUUCCUGCAGGAGUUCUUUGAAGAUAGAACUUCGGUGGAUGUCCCAAGAAGUUCGUGGUUAUGUCGAAGCAGUUCUCAACAGCCUUGGUGCUAAUGUUCCAAAAAUCAGUUUUCUUUACUUGGUGCUGUUGUUCUUAUGUUUGCUGAGACGGUGGCAUUGCUUUUUAUUUCACUAGCUUCUUAUGUCCCUGAGCAGGCCGUGGUACUUUGCCAAGUAGAGAAAGCCAAAGAGGACACGCUCAAUCAAUUAUACAGUUCGAUCAGGUUAGCUUGAAGAUCACAUUGAUUGUUUGUGUUUUUGGUGAAUCGAUUUUUUUUUCUUUUGAAUUUUUCAUAGUAUGCUCGUGUUCCUUACUACAUGGUGCAAAUGCAAGGUAUUCGAAGCAUUCCUUUUUGGAGUGGUGGUUUGUUAAGACCACUGCAAGUAGCAUCUAUUGCAUCUGAGCAUAUGUUGUUGGAAAUGGUUCCCUAUAAUGAAAACAUAUAUUAGAAUAUUGCAUUGACCACAUAUCUAUUGUGUUCUGUUUUGUAGCUACAGUUUCCAAUUCGACAGCACUAAUAUGCUUCAUAUGUAACCUUUUUUACACUAUUCUAUAUCAUUAAUGAAGGUUUAUUCUUGAAUGAUUAGUCAUCCUUUUUUGUUUACAUUGGAUUGUAGUGCUCAAAGCACAGCAAGAAUUGAAGAACUGCUUCUAGAGGAUUAGAAUGUAAAACGUAAGAGGGAAAAAUGCCAGAAACAGGCCUCCCUCCUGUCGAAACUCACAAGACAACUCAGCAUUCACGAUAAUCGAGCAUCUGCUGCCUCUAGCUGGUGUGAUAGCAGCAGUCCUGCAGGUAAUAGCUAGUGCGGUUUUAGUUAAAUGUGCAGUGCAUCUUUAAAAUCUGAACAGCUUAUGGAGUAGGACUUGUGUGCCAUGGCAGUAUAAUUCUUAUAAGUUGUGUCUGAAGGGUUAGGAAAACUGAUUUCUUAAAGGACUUUCUGUUUCCAAAUUGAUUUCUCUCUGCUAGUAUGCCUUUGGCUGUUGCUUAUGCUGUAAAGUUUAAUGGAGCUUACCCUUCGGGAGAGUUCUUUUUUUUUUCUUCCCUGGUUUAUAGUGAUAAAAUGGUGUGCCCAAUGCUUCAGAAUUUAAUCUCCAACUGGCAGUCUCAAGUGGUUUAAAUGCUGAAAGUUUCUCAAAUCUUAUGUUUCUGGAAAUGCGGAAUUGUGAUGUUAGAAAUCACUGACUGGUAAAAGCCUCUCCAAUCAGCAUGAAACUUCAAAUUGGGAAUGGAAAAGGAUACUGGUCUUUAUUGUGAUUUAAAUGGUGAAAAUUUCUCGAAUCUAAUAAUUUCUCUGUAUGUGGAAGAAUGGUGUUGUGAUUUUAGAAAAGGUAAGCUUUUGCAAUUUGCAUCAAAAUUCAAAUUGGGAACUGAGAAAACGUUAGCUGUGGACUAAAGUGCAGUUUAAAUUAGGUUUCUUGAAUCUGAAUUUUCAUGUAUUUAUCUUGGAAAAGCGAAUUUGUGAUUUUGGAAACCAUUGGUUGGUAGAAUCCUUCCCAUGAUCAUUUAGUACUUUGUGACGUGAACCUCUUCCUCUUCCUCUUUGAGAUGUUUUCAUAGAAGCUUCUUGAUUGAUUCUCUAUUUACUAUCAGAGACUUGACUGCAGUGCUUCCUAUAUUGCACUUAUUUCCUGGUAAUUGAAAAAAGAACGAAGAAAAAUCUACCUCAACUGCUGAGUUUAUCCAUAUCUAUAUUGCGCAGAAAGCCCAAGAAGUAAUGGACCCUCAUCUGGUGAUGACUGGAGGAGCGCAUUCGAUGCGGCCUCCAAUGGACACUGAUUAUCUCGGUUUGGGACGAGCCACAGUUGAUGGAACAGUGACCCUGCUCAAAAUGGUGAUGUCAGCUCGGCAUAAAAUCCCGGUGGCCGGCGUACACCGAAUCUAUUACCGCCUGCACCCCCACAGUCAGGUUCGACUUACGGAUACUAGAUGUUUGAAGAUCAUGAUGGAUAAUGACUCUCAAGGCAUUCUUGUUGGAUGGGUGUCUUUACUCCUGCUGGUUUGAGUAUUUAAAUUGAAUCACAUGUCGCUGUAUAUGCUUCAUAGAGGUGAGAAUGAGUAUUAGGUGGUCAUGUUUAAAAAUUACGCGAUUAAUAUCCGAGCCUGCCCAUCCGACUGUCUGUCAUCCAGAUUAGUUCCUUUCAUUGGAAGGAUUGGUUUGUUAAUUUUUUUUUUCUUUUCAGUAGGGUUGGGGGGGCGGGGCUGCGGGGGCAAGGUAGGGAUAGGUUACAAUUUUUGCUCGCAGUGACAUGCUUUGGAUGGAGGAUUGUAUACCAUGUUUUGCUGGUGAAGUGCAUUAUCCGCUUCGGAGUACAAACCUAUUAUUCUAAAAUAUAAGCUUCCAAGAGCACAGACCUAUUAUUCUGAAAUAUAAGCUUCUGAGUUUCGAUUAAAGUGAUGCUCAUGCCUUUUUUACUAUCGUCUUCACUGACUGAAUCAAACAUGUUCAUGGAGUUUGAGCCUUUUUAAUCUAGACUUCUUGUUACCUCGAAAUUGUAAGCCCAAUUUACGUCAUUUUCCAUAUCUAUUAAAAUUUUGAAAAGGUUGUAAUUUAUGGAUGCAAAAUUUCGUAAUAUCAUAAUAGCAAAAUUAUGUAUCAUUGAAUGAUUCCUCUUUUUUCUUUCUUUUUUUCUCAAAAAAACUAUGUAGUUUAUCUAUCCAUUCUAUUGUAUAGCGCCAAUCUUUUCCAGGGCUAUGAUACAAUGUAAUACUACAACUCAUUUGUUCAGGAAGCUUGAAAUAUAUAUUUUUUUGUAUCAUUUAUAAAAAUAAAUAAAUAAAAAUAUUUUUAUUAUUCACGAAAACAUUUAAAUAUAAAUUAUAAUGAAUAAUUAUAAAAAUUAUCUACUAAUUAAUAAAAGGGGUAAAAAAAAUUACUAUUAAGAAAGUAUUUGUGAUCAUUUAUCUUUACCAAAAUAAAUGCAACUUAAAUAUACAAUCCAUUUAUUUUUAUCUUAUUUGGGAACUUUACAUUAGCAAUUGCGAUCCUUUGUUGGCAUCAAUUUUUUUCCGUUGGAGGCACCCAUAUAUGGGGCAAACCUUAUUUUUAACAAGUCAAGUAGAGAACAAUCCAAGUGAAGAAAUGGCCGAUCGUCAGCCUUCCGCAAUUGGAGAACUUUGGAGGCCUGGCUGACGAUUUGAUGAUAUAUGUUUUCACUGAUGAUGUCAUGCACUGAUGAUGUUAUGCCUCUUUAAGCUCAUCAGGAGCUUCGAGAUCAAGUAGGGAGGGUCUCCAUAUCAACAUCACACCAAGGCGGCCAGAUCGCAAAAACCCACAAGCAUUGUUUCUAUAGCGACUCUUUUACUAGAAUGAAAUGGUCGACUAACGGAUCUGUACAUUAGAAAUGGAUAGAUCUUUCCUUCAUCAAGAUGUACAUACCACAACCAUACAGACAUGGACUUCCUACCUGCAUGUGUCUACUGUAUGCCUUCUUUAAAGGGUCCAGAAUUGCGGAUCAAAUUCAUCACAAGUUUGACCUGCAGAUAAGGCAAAUGUUCUGAUUACGCUAACAGGAAAUUUCAGAUCAUACGUGGUUUAAUGUUCCUUUUCUUUUAACUAAGAGUUAGAGGUGAUAUCCAAUAUAGUGGCGCAAUGGAGUUAUCCGCUAUACAGGAAGAAGAAACUUCUUUUAGAAAAGCAAACGUAAGUCCUAAAACAUUGUCCAACUUCACUGCUGGGACCUUCCUUAUAUCUACUUUGCUAAAAUGCAUUAGGGAAUGAAGUGUGCUGGAACAAAUAACGAAAAUAAGAAGGCAAGGGUUCGGCAUCAACAGUGAUCAUCUACGACACAGAUAGUUCAGUUGAAUACAAUGUCUACUGCUACCUCCUUUGUGACUGCAUCACUGGGCCAACCACACAAUAAACAUAGGAAGUGAAAAAUGUUCUUGCGUUCGCAACAUAUGAGAAGGAUCGAAUGUUCACCACAACACGAUGAUAGUGCUAUUAAUAAAUGAGUUGUUCUCGCCUGAUGGCAUUUUAGUAACAUACCUGAGUUGCCUCGCGCACUACAAAUUCUUCUAUGGCCUUGCUGAUGUCAUGCACUGAUGAUGUUAUGCCUCUUUAAGAUCAUCAGGAGCUUCGAGAUCAAGUAGGGAGGGUCUCCAUAUCCUCCACUGUUUUCAAAUUAAGCUCUAUAGCAGCUUCUAUUGCUUGUUAUGUAGAUAAAAGUAAAUAGUUAUAUUGUUCCAAACAUGACAAGCGCAUGCUUCCAUAUCACAAGAACUAUUAUCCUCACAUAGCAAAUCUGCUUUUCGCUAAUAUUAGUUGAUCUACCACUUCCUCUUUCCUCUUUGUUUCUGCAACUCCGCUGCAAAUUCCUUGAUGGGAAAUUUUUCAUUAGCAUAUGAGGACUAUUAUGAUGUAGAGAAAAGCUUUGUCAACUUCUGGAAUGACAUUUCUAGAUAUGCCCAUGCCUUUACAGCAGCUAAAGUCCCCAUUUAGAGCGGAAGAUAAUCAUGGUAGUAGGCCUGAACAAUGACAUUUAUCUUAGCUGCUGUACCUGUCACAUAGACCCAUGGAUAAUCAUCACCUAACGCUAUCCUUUUAUUACAACAAAAUAGGUCCCCAAUUCUUCAAAGAACAAAAUUAUACGCAAGCAGAUUCCAAAACCAAAUGAAUGAUAUUUACUUCAUGAUUUCAAGUAUAUUCACACAUUCUAGUAUUCUUACUUGGGAAGAAUUUACAUAAUCUUAGAGAAUCGGUUGCCACUUUAAAUUGACAAUCUCUUCCUCUAUUUAGCUUGCACUUACAUUUGAUAUCUUGUUCACGCUUUUACUAUACUGAAGUCUCAAGGUACAACACAUGGGUUAGCAAAUCCAUACCAUGCAAUUAAGUCCAUUAGUUCACCCUUGUCAACAUAAGGUUAAACGAAUCUCACUUUUUAAAAUAGGCAGUAAGCACCCAAGAAAGAACUUCCAUAUCAAGUAUAUAUCAAACUCACAGGAGUUUUGCAUGUUAAAUAGAGACAAACCUGGUAAUAACAAGCUUCAAAAUGUAAGUUGGGAUAAUAAGCUUUUGGGUGACAGCCCCAGAGGCGCCCAUAUAUAGUAUCUCCGCCUAUAAGAUUAAGGGCUCCCGCAACAAGUUCAUCCCCUUCUUCAGCUACAACCAUUAACACUUGGUCUCCCAUUUUUGAUCCCAUGUUAUGAAAAAACUCUCUUGACAAAUAAGGGCUGCCCCACCUAAAUAAACAUAAGCAGCAAGACAUGAUCUACUUAAAGCUCUCAUAUCAAAUAAAGAUGCCUUUGAAUAUACACAAGAGGCAGGCAAAACAAUCAACAAUAUCAUAUUUUCUGCAAAGGAAAGACACAACCAGUCACUGGACCCAUACUUGAUAUCGGUGGUGUUCCUGUAGAACGUAUAGAAAGAACCCCAGUGCUUAGCCUGCACACACAAUCAAAACCAAGAAGCUCAAGUCCUUCAUGUUUCACAAAGUGAAGGUAUUAAUUUAGGAGUAAGUUGUAAGAGAACAGGAGUCACAUAUGGAUGAUCACAUCUAAGGACUACUCAUCUAAAAGCUCAAACCAGUGGACAGAAAGUUGCUACUAGCAUCUAAAUUCAAAUUAAUAGUAUUACUGGGAAGUUGCGACUUGAUAUACUUAUUUAUACUUCUCUGUACAGUUAACCAACUAGUCUCUAUUCACAUUGAUAUCAAAUUGAACCGGCUGGAUUACAUAUAUUAUUAAACCUCACAUAUUUUGGGUAGGAUUGGCUUAAAAUCUUCCCCGAGACACUUUUGCCAUGAUAUUUGUACUCAUUACCUUUAUUUCAUUCCCUCGAAGCCGCUUCAUUGUCAAGUUUUGGGCAGAAAUCUGCAGAAAGGAUUCAAUCCAAUGAGUAAAAGCUUGUGUGCCCAAAAAGAUGCAACGUAAACUGGCACUAUGAGACUAUAAGAUGCAACAGAUAAAAAUGCAAACUGAUUUUUGAUAAGAUACCAUAGUGCACCAGCAAUGAAUUCUGAUAACUUAAUGGGGAAUUUAAUAUUCUGUCUGUGCUAUUAGCAAAAUUGAUUUUAACAGGCAAAAAGGAAAUUAGUACUACAUGAAAGUUUAUGUGUGUGUUUUUUUCCCCAUUAGUAUAGGUACAAAUACAGUUGAUACACUGCCACUGAUAUAUUUGCAUUAAACAUUUGUAGAACGUAACAGUGAUAGGCAUUUGUAAAGAUCAGUUCAUAUAAUACUUCCCCAUAACUCAUGUCAUCAUAAAGAACGACCAAUUCGUUACUCAACUGUUCAUAUUUUACUGCUUUGAAGCAUCUUCAGCAAUUAGUCAGUUUUCCAGUUGUCCAAGAAGCUCAACUACCAGUAUAACACUUUACUUCAGCAGAGUGAAUUUCAGCAAAUGCAUAAGGUCAGUCAGCAUUAUAUCCGAAAUUGGGAAUGCAAUCCCCAUGAAGCAUCAGUCUCAGAGUGUUAGUAAAAAGUUCUACGAGCAUUUAGUGAAGAUUGCAGUAACAUAUAUCGUUCCAUAAUAACUACUUUCUUCAUUUCCCCUGUGACAAGCAUAUGUAUCAACACAAUUUACUAAAAAAAUUUUAUCAAAUUUUCAACCAUAUAUUUAAGGAAUAAAGAACUAAGAGCAAGAUUUAAAAGAAUUUCUAGGUGGGAGUAUCUUCCCAAAAUAAAGGGAAUUCCCAAAUAAAAUAACAUUUGGAAAAACUAACCUUCUUGCGCUCCUGACGUAUAUUUUUCCUUUUGUUCUGCUUCAUGUCCAUCAAAAAGUCAUCAAAACUGUGGCACAGACAGUGAAACUUGAAGCAUGUACCUUUUGCAUGCAAGAUAAACACAAGAAAUGUAAAAAGAUCAAAAGUUGGCAAUCCAAGUAAAUUUAAGACACCACUCAUUCAGAGAAGUAAUGCUGCAAUCAUAUGCUAACUGGCAGGACUAUUGCAAAGGAAACUGAUGCAUGCACAAUAUCAAAUGGAGAAAAUUGACAGCAGCAUUACGUCCAAGUAUAUUUUUAAGCAAAAGCUGCAGUUGACCUAGAUAACAUUGUGAGGCAUAUACCCCUUGACAUGCUAUCUAGAUCAAAAAGAGACAACUCCAUUCAACUCCCAAAUUCUUUCAACCCUCAUUGACAAUCAAGAAAAGGGGUCAAAGGUGUAUGAUAGCUAUGAUGUAAUUGAGUGAGUCUUAUGAAAUUUCAAACUUGUCUUAUUUACACUUUGAAUAGCUGCAUCCAAGUAAUCUGCUUCAGGUGCACUGGUGUGAAGAAUUUCAAUUGGAUACCGCCUUACUGCAUAUCUAAAUAUCAGGGUGGAGUGAAAAAAAUCACUGAACUUCUCUGCAUCUAGUUUGGCACUUAAAAUAAGCAACUUCAUAUCAGGCCUAAAGUGAGCAAUAUCCUAUAAGGUGACAACCGUAGAGAUAUUUUACUGGGAAGUCUAUAUUUACAUGUGACGUGCAAUAACACAUUCCAAAAAUAUGCAUGGCCAUUGUCUAUCCACAAUCCUACUCUCCAAUACAAACCUUGCAAAUACUCAAAUUGUUUCUUAGCAUGAUCAUAUUCUGGUAGAUAAUAACCAUAUGCAUAUGUCCACUUGAGCACUCGCCUACACUCAACUAUCUACAAACAUCAAAGGAGCCUAAUUUAGUUUCACAGAAGCAGGUCAGGAUAAUAAAUCAAAAACACUACAUCAGAUUUUAACAUAUAUAACAGCUGUGUUUACAUUCCAAACUGAAAAUCACAUAAAUCAUAUUUAAGUUUAAUUAAGUAAUAAAACCUGUUGCCAGGCCUCUAUGAUGAACUUCAACUGUGACUCCGGCUGGCAUUGUGUGUCACUAAGCUUAUCGAGCUGACAAGAAGAAAAGACAAAACCUUAUUUAAUCAAUAGCAAAGGGUCAGGAAGCAUCAGCAGCACAACAUAAUUAAACCAGAUAAAUAGAAAAGCCAUGCAUCUUGCUUCCUAUCACAAGAGAACAAAGAUCAAUCUGUUAAUUUAACAUCACAAGCAGUUUAUCGCAACUCAACCUGCCCAGUUGCCACUUAGCAUCAACACAUUUACCCAGUAUAGAUUCUUCAGACACAACUGCAAUCCUUAGUGUACUCAACAUCCAUGACUGUCAGACUAAAACGUUAGCCCAAGUACAGAGAGGCAAACACAUACAGAAACAAAGAUCUUCCUGGUCUUGUGGCACUCCUUACACUUGGCCAAUGCCUCUGCAACAAACCGUGGCCCAAGAGCUGAACAUCUAAUUCCAACUGAAGGUACUUGAGUAAAGCGAUCCACGGGAGAAGUAGAAGGGGGCUUAAUCUGCAAAUUAAGCGUCAAACAUAAUCAAGUCAAUCAAUCCUUCCGUGUCCAAUGCAAUCAGUUAAGCACACUAAACGAAAACCAACGAUCAGAAACUGAAUUUCAUGAUGACAUUAAUCGGAAAACCUAAAGAAAAUUUUGAAAUUACUACAUCUUGGAGUCAUAAAUUUCCAUGCAUGGUCAUUUCAAGUGAAUAAUAUGUAAAUGAGCUCUCCAUCUCUUUGACCAGAAACUGAUUCAAUUUAUUCUUGGCUCGCGCUUCCUCAAGCGACUAAGACAAUGCUAGCAUUUACUAAAAAACAGACACAGGCAUCUACAACAGCAAACCGAUUCCCAAGAAAAAAAAAAACGCAGGGAACUACAGACUCUCUUACCACACAGAGCAACGACGACCGGAAUUCCAGAACUGACCUUACCGCGCACCACGUCGGCAGCGAAAUUGCAGACGGCGUCAAGCGUGCUCUCAAUCUGCGCCUUCAGGAACCGGGCCGGCGCGAGUUCCGACUUCCUCAACCAGUAGUGCCCGACCAUGCAGCCCUCGUCUGGGCAGGGUUUGCGAUCGCACCCUUCCCCAGCUCCUCCAUCACCUUGAACGCGGCCUGGAACCGAGGCUCUAUCUCCUCCACGGACUCGUCCGUGAACCCGAUUCGGCUCACGUCCGAGGGCGAUAUGUUCUUCGGCCUCGACUCCGCUGCCGCGACAUCCUGCGCGACAGAACACGAACCUAUUCAUUCCGUACAUCCCGGAAACAGAACCAUCGCGAACGUGACUAAGAACAAACCUCGACGCCCGGCGCCGUCAGAGCAUAAUAGCCGAGGGAAAGAUGGACGGUCUCGCGAGGCUCCAGAGACUUCUUCGACCUCCAGAACAGCGCGCGGAUUCUGGCGGCGGCGGUGGCUCGGAGUCGGAGUUGAUGACGAGUUCGUCGGAGGGAGGAAAUCGGACGGAGGCCCAGAAGUUGCCGAGAGACCAACGCGAGCACAAACCUUACGCGUUGGAAACAGUGGGAGGCGAAGGCGGUCGGGAACCAGCUGUGACAGGCGGGGCUCUUGGAGGAGGCGACGUGCCAGAGGUAGAUGAUCGGCGAGGCGGAGGCGGAGGGGUGGGAUGCGCUGAGAGGGAAGUGCAGCUCGUUCUCUGUCUGCUCUUCGACGAAGAGAGAGAGACAAAACCCAAAAAGUUUCAAGUGAGGAGAGAGAAAAUUUAAGCGGGAGCGCAGAGCAUUCAUUACCCUUCUUAUCCGUCCUUUCUUCUGCCAGCCGAGCCGAGCCGAGCCACCAGCCAUUUAUUUCGGAGAGAGCGAGAAGAGAGAGGAGAGAGAUAGGAGCGCAGAAGAUGGAGGGGCGUCAGAGUGGUGGGCCCCAGGAGCGCUUUUGAACGUCUGACACCGUCGACACGUGGAGCCACGUGUCGACUCCUGAGUGGUCUUACCCACCGCCUACGUGGAGGGUAAAACCCACCCAAUAUUUUCUCUCAAAAUCUAGGCUGUAUAUCUUACGCGUUCAAAGCUAUAUAUCAUUUAAAGUGCCACCAUGAUGAAUCAAAUGUAUAACAAACUUAAAGCAGUCCGGAUAGUAUAAGCCCUAAAUAUAAAUUUGAUGUUGAUAUUGAAUGUUGACGUUGACCAAAACCUAUGCUUCGCUUCAGGAACACUGUUUUGAUUCGUUCAAAAGCAAAGUUUUUCAACAUAAUAUGGAUAACAUCUGUAAAAACAAUUUUCAACUGUUGUUUGUUGAUGAGUGGGAAGGUUCUGUAGACCCAUUAAUGUUUCGUUGAGAAAGAAUAAUACUAGAUGAACUAAAAUUUCCUGCAAAAAUACUUUACUAAAUGACGAGAAAUGUUUGAGUAAGGGAAAGUGCUAAUAUUGUCCCACAGAAAGAUCAAAACCAAGCAGGCAAUAAUGAAGUAUAGCCCAGGUCUCUUUUGAAGCGGCGUUGGCCAUGAAGGCGAAAUUACUCAAAUGGUACAAGAACGUUCCACCUGUUUGAGUCCUUUGUCCUCAAGGUUCACGUUGAAUCGAAACUCUGUUUGUUCUAUAUUACCAAAAAUUGGGGCUAUGUGAGGAUGUCCAAGUGGAGGAGAUAUUAGCAAUGGUGAGGAAUUGGUUCUACAAUAAGUAUGAUGCAUAUGCCAACCGAGUGGAGAUGGUGCCGUUACCGAGUAAUACCUAAAAAUCUGUAUAUCAUUGCUUCGUGAAAGGAAGAGGCUUUUGCUAGCUCUUUGUCUUCAUCUAUCAAUAAGGUUGAGACAUAUUUGACAACUCACUAUUCAAACUACAUUCAAAGAGUUCGCCAAAACAAAAUCAGCAUCCUUAAAUGAUCAUAACUUUUGUACGACGGUUGAUAACUUACUAAACCCACAAGGUUCAUUGUAUCAUCAAUGCCCAUGUUAAGUGAUAGCCGAAAGAUUGGGAAAGAUAAUAGGAGAUCAUUAGCUGCAAAAAAAUAUAGAAAUAGCUGGUUGAGAGGAGGUAUUAUCCAAAAAGUUACGUUCAUCUGUCCUCCAUUUGGUUAUUCACUGGUUUUCUCGCAAAGAAAAAAGAAAAGGUUCAAUAAUUUCAUAAGUAUCAAAAUUCAAGCCGCCACAGACCCCACUCCAAAAUAGAACAUGUGGACAAAUAGAGAUUUCGACGAAGCAACUUGCGUAGGAGCUACACAAGCUAUAUAUUCAUACAUUAUCGACGCCGAUCAAAGAAAGACCCCAAAACCCGAAAAAAAUCUAAGAAGAAUGGAUCCUCCCAAACUCCCUCUCUUGCUUGUUCUCGUGUUUGCUUCCACCAUCGACGCCCAAGAUCUCUUCCCAAAGCCGUACUGUGGUUCGACCGGCAACUUCAGCGCCAACAGCACCUACCAAACCGCCCUCACCGCCCUCCUCUCCUCCAUCUCCACCACCAACUCCUUGUCCCUCACCUACGGCUUCUUCAACGCCUCCUUCGCCGUCUCCGGCGCCUCCCAAACCCUCUAUGUCAUCGGCUCCUGCCGCGGCGACCUCACCUCCGAGAGCUGCCGCACCUGCCUCAAUGGCUCAGCCUCCGACAUCCGCCACCUCUGCCCCCUCCAGAAGGAGGCGGUCCUCUACAGCGAGAACUGCUCCGUCCGUUACUCCAACACCUCGAUCUUCCGCACAGUCAAAACCGACCCUGACUACCAGCUGUUCAACGUCAACAACGUCACGAGCCCAGACACGUACAACGCUGCGCUGCGGACGCUGCUGGACCGUUUGCGGGGUGAGACAGCGGGCGGCGGCUCGCUGAGGAAGUACGCGACGGGCAACACAUCGGCGGUUUUCAACACGAUCUACGCGAUGACACAAUGCACGCCGGACUUGACCAACCAGCAAUGCAUCGACUGCCUGGUGACAGUCAUCGGGAGACUUGGGCCGUGCUGUGCUGGGAAGAUGGGA
This 35466-nucleotide long non-coding RNA is filed under the name Eucalyptus grandis. RNAcentral describes it as "long non-coding RNA (EGRA_LNC003243)". Lineage: Eukaryota; Viridiplantae; Streptophyta; Magnoliopsida; Myrtales; Myrtaceae. The record is from RNAcentral.